This is a non-coding RNA of Camellia sinensis, 3237 nucleotides long. Lineage: Eukaryota; Viridiplantae; Streptophyta; Magnoliopsida; Ericales; Theaceae. The record is from RefSeq and is a predicted model, not a curated record.
AGGUUGUUUAGAAAUCUUACAGCGUCAACCAUGCAGGCGUCUCGUACUCAUCGUUUGGUAGGACUAUCAAACGAUGAUAGUUGGACCAUAUUUAGGCAAAAAGCAUUUGCAAGAGGAGGACCACAAGAGACUCCAAAUUUGGUGGUUGUGGGCCAAAGGAUUGUAAAAAGAUGUGGGGGUGUGCCAUUAGCAGUAAAAACAUUGGGAGGUUUGAUGCACUCAAAGAAGAAUGAGCAUGACUGGUUGUCAAUUGAAAGGAGUGAAAUAUGGAAUUCAUCUCAAAAAAUAAAUGGAACCGAUAUUUUUCCUAGCUUAAGGUUAAGCUUUGAUCAUCUUCCGUCACCCUCAUUAAGACAAUGUUUUGCAUAUUGUUCUAUUUUCCCCAAGGAUUUUUUUAUUGAGAGAACCAAUUUAAUCGAACUUUGGAUGGCCCAAGGAUACCUUCAGCCCACUAAGGGAAGUGAUAUGUUGAUGGAGGAUGUAGGUAACAAUUAUUUCGAUGUCCUAUUGUGGAAUUUUUUAUUGCAAGCUGUUCCAAAAGAUGGGUAUGGAACUAUUGUUGGCUGCAAGAUGCAUGAUCUCGUGCACAAUUUUGCACUACAUAUCUCAAAAAAUUAUUGCUCGACUUCAAAGGCCACUGAGGUGAGUGAUAUUUCUCAUGUUCAACAUUUAUCAUUGGUUUCUAGUGAAGAAGAGGUAUCGCUAAUUUCAGAAUUUGGUUUCCAGAAAUUGCGAACAUUGUUUUUAUCAGGUAUUCUCCUUGGAGAUGUGUCAAUGGACAAAACACGCUUGCGUGCUUUGAAUUUAGUUAAAUCUGAAAUGAAGGAAUUGCCAAGUUCAAUAAGCAAGAUGAUACAUUUAAGAUAUCUUGACAUCUCAAGGACAGCCAUUAAAGAGUUACCUAGUUUUGUCACUAAUCUCUAUAAUUUGCAAACUCUGAGAAUUUUGUAUUGCUUGUUCUUGGAAAAGCUUCCAAGAGAAUUUAGGAAGCUAGUUAAGUUGAGGCAUUUUUACAUGGAUGAUGAUGAAAAGCGCAGGAAUUUGAUGCCAGUGGGAUUAGGGCAGUUGACUUGUCUCCUGACAUUGCCAUUUUUCGUUGUGGGUCAGAAUAAGGGAUGCGGAAUUGAGGAGCUAGGAUGCUUACACAACCUCAGAGGAGUAGUAAAGAUUUAUGGUCUUGAGCAUGUGAAAAGCAAGGAAGGUGCGCAGAAGGCAAAUUUAUCAAGCAAUCCAAAUAUUCAAGAAUUAAGGUUUCAUUGGACUAAUGAUGAAGUGGAAAACACAGACAUUAAUAAUGAUGUGGAUGUGUUGGAAGGUCUAAAACCUCACAGUAAUUUGAAAGGUUUGGUGAUUGAGAACUAUCGGGGUGAGAAACUUGCAUCAUGGAUGAUGGUGAAAGAUCACACAUCGCUGCUUUACAAUUUGGUGAAGAUAGAACUGAAGUAUUACAAAAGACUGGGAGAAAUCCCCGCACUUGGGCACCUUCCUUUCCUACAGGUUCUUCAAAUAGUGGGGAUGCAUAAUGUGAAAAGUGUUGGUACUGAAUUCUAUGGUCCUCACAAUCUUAAUGAUGGUGGUAGAGAGACAUCAAUAUUUCAAGCACUGAGAGAACUCAGUCUACAAUAUAUGCCAAGCUUAAUAGAAUGGAGUGAAGCGGCAGUUGCAGCAUAUUCGGGGUCAUCUGGCUUGGUGUUUCCUUCCCUGAAGGUCUUGAAUAUUGGAUGGUGUCCCCGAUUGAUAAUGGCUCCAAGUCACUUUCCAUCCAUUAAGACAUUGACAAUAGCAGAAAUCAACAAUGUGGCCCUAAGAAAGAUGAGCAACAAGCUAACGUCUCUCACUUUCCUGAAUUUAAGGAAGGUCUCAGGUUCAGAGAUCAAUUUUGUGCUUGAAGAGAUGUUCAAAAAUAAUAGAUCUUUACUAAAACAUGUGACAAUUGAUUCUUGUGAUGGUGUAGCUCAUGUGCCAAAUGUGCUGCAUGACCUUGCAUCCCUUGAGACACUAUGUAUAAAAGAGUGCCCAAAUAUAACGACUAUACUAGAUAUCAAUGAGGAGCACAAUGGCCUCACUCGUCUUCAAGACAUUAUGAUCACCAAAUGCAACAAGUUGACUUGUUUGCCAAAAGGAAUAGGGAACCUUGCAUCUCUUGAGCGUUUAGCUGUGUCUGAGUGCCCUAACCUAAUGGUAAUUGACCCAUCAGAUAUCUGCAGGCUCACAUCCCUCAGGAGUCUGGAAAUUAAAAAAUGUGGAAUAUUGAGGACUUAUAAUUGUUGGCCUGAGUGGCUACUCUCUCUAACCCCUGACCUCACAAGAUUGGUGAUAGGUGACUUCUCAGAGGAACUUGAUUAUUUCCCUUGGCCCACAAUCACUAGCACUACAACUACUUCUACCUGUACCAAUUCUAGUUGCAGUAGCAGUAAUUUCAACAUCACCCAUCAAGUACAACAACGCUUCUUCGUCUCGCUAAAGUCUCUAACUUUGUAUGGUUGGUCAAAGCUCACAUCUCUGCCUGAUCAACUCCAGCACCUCACUGCCUUGAUAGACUUGAGUAUUUGGGAAUUUGAUGGGUUGGAAUCUCUGCCAGACUGGCUGGGUAACCUUUCAUCGCUCCAAGCUCUACAUCUUUGGAAAUGCAAGAAUCUAAUGAUUCUACCUUCAAUGAAAGCAAUGCGAAGCCUCACCAAAUUGCAAAGUUUGAAGAUUAGGUGGUGUCCCCUUCUCAAGGAAAAAUGUAGCAAGGAAAGCGGGCCAGAUUGGCACAAGAUUUCCCAUAUUCCAUCAAUUCAAAUAGACAGCAACUACGUCAAACUGGGAUCAAAUCAUACUAAUGAAAAUGAGAGAUAAACCAAUUGGAAAUACAGCUGAAAUAGAAGAAUGCAAAUAUGGUUGCAUCAGAAGAUAUUAGUAGAGAAGUUUGGACAUAUGGAGAGAGGUGACUAGGCGCGUGGCCAGGCAUAAUGAUGAUCGUUUGGAGUUCUGUUUUGCCGGUCAACUUUUGUGCCUCUCGAGGAGGUUCCGGAAUAAAUCUAGUGGUCAUGUUUUGUGAACUAUGUUUUAAACCUUGUUUUCUUUUCUGAAUUUCAAACAAGUUCCUGUUUAUCUGUAUAUUGGGCUAUGUCUUAUUUUGACUUUAUCUGUAUAAAUGAGUGACGUAAGACUACUAUAAUUAUGACGUCACGUGUAUGUAUAUUAAGUUUUGAAAUUUUGGUCCCAUGUAUAUCUACACAACUUAAUGGACUA